UUCUCAGUAACAGUGCUCAACCUGUGUCCAUGGUGACACGCACUCUUUUGUAGACAGCAAAUGAACACUCAACAGCCACAGUAACAGAGGAACAGAAAAUCAUUAACAGGUGGGAAGUGCACUGACUGAAAUCAGUUCAGUCAGUUGUUGCUUGAUUUCAUUUUAGUUUUUUUUACUCGGGACAUCACUUCAGCUGAAACUGUUUUAUGAUAAGCUGCAUGAUCCAAAGUCUCAAAUUGAAUAAGUCUUCUAGCAAGGAGACUGAAUAGUAGCCAAUAGUAUGUUAAGGGUUGAUUUAUCAGGAAUUUAAUGAGAGAAAUACUUUGUUAGACUCGCCUGUGGUUGGUAAAGCAACAUAAAGGAAAACAUCCCUCCUCAUCUGCUCAUCAUCUGACUACCCACCUUAACCUCCCCUUCAGAAGAGGAGUGGAAAAGAGGAGAGGCAAGCACAACUGCUCCGGCUCCGGCUGUAUAAGGGUGAGGAGGAGAAGCUGACAACAGAGCGAACUUGGUUACUAGUGAGAUGCAACUUGGGGAGGGAACGCUUAACUGCCGCGGGGUAGCCUACAACAUCCAACGCAAGAAACCCUCCAACUGGACCGCCUGGAAGACGAGACGGCUCUCUCUCUCGGAUCCUGUGCCCUUCCACUGCCAAAGGAUGAGGGUUUCUGACUUUUCCCUUAGUUGCCAGGGAUGUCUGUGGACAGCGGAAAGGCGAACAACCCCUCCGGCAUGUCCAAUGUUAUGUUCCUCCUGAUGCUCUGCAAGACCGGUCUGAGGGGUAAACUACAGACCUUUACUGGGACAAUGGUAAACACUGCCGUCUGUGAUGAAGAAAGAGGAAUUCAAGAUAAGGAGGGCACAGAGGAAUCCAUUCUGGCCAUGCUGGGGAUCAUCGGCACAAUUCUCAACCUGGUUGUCAUCAUCUUCGUCUACAUCUAUACAACGCUGUGACUGUCUUCAAAAUAAACUCCCUUCAAUUGCACUCAACAGCACAGCAAGCCUACCUGCUUCAGCAGAGUUGUUUGGCAGGAACGUAAAUCUGUUUUGAGGCGGCGCUGCGUCAUCAAUCCACUUUGACAAAGGAAUCUAAGAAUGUGUGAUAACUGCAUUGCAUGUAUGCCGCUGAGAGGUGUUGAGACUUUGUCAAUGGGAGACUGGCCAAUUCCUGUGAGGCUGUAUUCCAGGGCCUAAUGUAUCAUUUCAAGUCUCUGGUAUUGCUUUGAACAUUUAACCUAUACAUAUAUACAAUACAUGAGGUGUGCCACUUCCUUCACAGGUACAGUACCAAGGAGGAAGUGAACAGACUGCAAUCUAGUGCAAAGGACUAAUCUGACCAGCGCUGCAGAAGCAUUUUGAAAGAGCCUGAUAUACUGUUAACAUUUAAACUGUAUAAUGGUAAAGAGGAAUGUAGAACAUGAGCAAAAAAAUUAAGCCACAUCUCUUUUUACACAAGUACAACAAAUUUCUUUGGAGGAAUAUACAUUCAACUAAGUGUGCUUAGUGGGAAGGUGACAGCAAAGGCCCUCUGAGUUUAUGAUGGUUCAAUAUUAUUUAUUGUCGUGUUCUGAUUUCUGUUUGAAGGAAAGCUUUUGUACAUUGUUACUAUACUAACACAUACAGUGACAGUACUAUUUCCUUGCUUAUGCCUGUUCUUUGCUACUUACAAAAUGUGUACAAUUUCUAUUUCUUAUAGUUCUAAGUGUUGCUGAGAGGUCUUCUCAGGAGUUUCAAGUCAAACGUUGCUCGAGUUUUGUUUUCUACAGUAGGAAGUAGAAUCAAAUUUGAUCACAUGUAUGAUCUGCAUGAGAAAUUAUACUGUAUUAGAAUUAGCGUUUAAGAUAGUGACAUGGGAUAUAGUGAAAUGGCUAUUACAGUGUAAUCACUCACUUCAUCUAAAUGUAUGUGAUGUUUACUGAGCUUUAGAAUUUUUUGUGUUGCCCCUUCCUUCAGCACCGUGGUAUCAAAAUGUUACUUCCACAAUUUGACUGCAAUGCUUUGAGAAGAAAUGAAAAGCACAAUUGAGGAAUGACCAUUAAGAGUAUGUACGAAUGUAAGGGCAAACGGUGUGUGAAUUUUAUACACUGUAACCUGCAACCCCUUAUGAUUCCAAGAAAGUGCCUGAAGUCAAGUGUCUCAUUCCAUUAUCCAUUUCUCCAAGCAGAAGAGGAUAAGUUACAAGAGAAUCUAUAGGCAAGACAAACCACACAAGUAAUAUAUUUUAAAAGUGCUUCAUAGUUAUUUAACUCAGCUAUCUCCAGAACACUGGUAACUAAUUACAGAAUAUACUAGUGAUUACUAGAGUUUGUUUUACGAUUACAUCCAACAAUUUCAAAUAUACUAUUGAUUUUCCUUUAAAAAGCCAUGAGAAAAGGUUUGUAAUUUCUUCCAAAGGUGACUAGUUCUAUAUUCCAGGCAUAGCAGACAUUUUGAGGAGGAACCAUUUAGUAAGUGUAUGGAGAGUGUUGAGAAUGUAUUUCAGAUUUGUUCAUUUAAUAGUUGGACCUUGUCGUACUUUUCUUGUGAAAUUGAAAUGCCUAGUGGAACAAGGUGCUGUGAAAUGUAGUUUAAUAGCAUUGCAUGGGCCUUAGUGACUAUCAGCAAUAUGGUUGGUGUAUGCUUAGAGUAUCUUUUAAUUCUCAGAGCCAUUCUCUCAGACCUCUGGACUAAGAAGUACACUCAUGAGAAAUAAUGCUCGUUAUUACAGGAUUACUGUUGUCUUAAUCUGGUUCUAGCAAACUGGACCACAAAGCCUAUUAUACAUAGUUUAAUGGGUAAUACUGGAAGUAGUAAAAAGACCCAAAUAUUCAAAGAUUUUAUCACCCACUAAUUUUUCUUCACAUUUAAGAUUAUGCAGUAUUUCUUGCUUGACAUUUUGUUAAAAACAAUGAAAUAAAACCUAUAAAAAUUGAUAAUA
Molecule: long non-coding RNA, 2917 nt
Organism: Esox lucius (northern pike)
Lineage: Eukaryota; Metazoa; Chordata; Actinopteri; Esociformes; Esocidae
Exons: 2
Source: RefSeq, a predicted model, not a curated record